This 73-nucleotide transfer RNA is filed under the name Stegodyphus mimosarum. RNAcentral describes it as "tRNA-Thr for anticodon CGU". It matches the Rfam family "tRNA". From Rfam's summary of the family: Transfer RNA (tRNA) molecules are approximately 80 nucleotides in length. Their secondary structure includes four short double-helical elements and three loops (D, anti-codon, and T loops). The record is from Rfam by way of RNAcentral. Lineage: Eukaryota; Metazoa; Arthropoda; Arachnida; Araneae; Eresidae.
GCCUUCGUGGUGUAAUGGUCAGCACACUCGGCUCGUAUUCGAGAGGUCCGAGGUUCGAGUCCUGGCGAGGGCA